RNAcentral lists this ribosomal RNA (713 nucleotides) under uncultured bacterium. Its description in RNAcentral is "bacterial SSU rRNA". It matches the Rfam family "Bacterial small subunit ribosomal RNA", at positions 78 to 787 of the family's 1533-position model. The record is from RNAcentral.
UGCUGCUUCGCUGACGAGUGGCGGACGGGUGAGUAAUGUCUGGGAAACUGCCUGAUGGAGGGGGAUAACUACUGGAAACGGUGGCUAAUACCGCAUAACGUCGCAAGACCAAAGAGGGGGACCUUCGGGCCUCUUGCCAUCAGAUGUGCCCAGAUGGGAUUAGCUUGUUGGUGAGGUAACGGCUCACCAAGGCGACGAUCCCUAGCUGGUCUGAGAGGAUGACCAGCCACACUGGAACUGAGACACGGUCCAGACUCCUACGGGAGGCAGCAGUGGGGAAUAUUGCACAAUGGGCGCAAGCCUGAUGCAGCCAUGCCGCGUGUAUGAAGAAGGCCUUCGGGUUGUAAAGUACUUUCAGCGGGGAGGAAGGUGUUGUGGUUAAUAACCGCAGCAAUUGACGUUACCCGCAGAAGAAGCACCGGCUAACUCCGUGCCAGCAGCCGCGGUAAUACGGAGGGUGCAAGCGUUAAUCGGAAUUACUGGGCGUAAGGCGCACGCAGGCGGUCUGUCAAGUCGGAUGUGAAAUCCCCGGGCUCAACCUGGGAACUGCAUUCGAAACUGGCAGGCUUGAGUCUUGUAGAGGGGGGUAGAAUUCCAGGUGUAGCGGUGAAAUGCGUAGAGAUCUGGAGGAAUACCGGUGGCGAAGGCGGCCCCCUGGACAAAGACUGACGCUCAGGUGUGAAAGCGUGGGGAGCAAACAGGAUUAGAUACCC